This 395-nucleotide ribosomal RNA is filed under the name uncultured bacterium. Its description in RNAcentral is "bacterial SSU rRNA". It matches the Rfam family "Bacterial small subunit ribosomal RNA", at positions 505 to 898 of the family's 1533-position model. The record is from RNAcentral.
GUGCCAGCCGCCGCGGUAAUACGUAGGGGGCGAGCGUUGUCCGGAGUUACUGGGCAUAAAGGGCAUGCAGGCGGUCGGACGCGUUUUGUGUGACAGCGGGUGGCUCAACUACCCGAGCAUGCGAAAGACGGUCGGACUUGAGGACUCGAGAGGGACACGGAAUUCCGGGUGGAGUGGUGAAAUGCGUAGAGAUCCGGAGGAACACCGAAGGCGAAGGCAGUGUCCUGGCGAGUGACUGACGCUGAGGUGCGAAAGCCAGGGGAGCGAACGGGAUUAGAUACCCCGGUAGUCCUGGCCGUAAACGAUGACCACCAGGUGUGGGAGGUAUCGACCCCUUCUGUGCCGAAGGCAACCCAUUAAGUGGUCCGCCUGGGGAGUACGGUCGCAAGAUUAAA